RNAcentral lists this ribosomal RNA (662 nucleotides) under Salmonella enterica. RNAcentral's name for it is "partial 23S ribosomal RNA". It matches the Rfam family "Bacterial large subunit ribosomal RNA", at positions 601 to 1242 of the family's 2925-position model. The record is from RNAcentral. Lineage: Bacteria; Pseudomonadati; Pseudomonadota; Gammaproteobacteria; Enterobacterales; Enterobacteriaceae.
GUACCUUUUGUAUAAUGGGUCAGCGACUUAUAUUCUGUAGCAAGGUUAACCGUAUAGGGGAGCCGUAGGGAAACCGAGUCUUAACCGGGCGUUAAGUUGCAGGGUAUAGACCCGAAACCCGGUGAUCUAGCCAUGGGCAGGUUGAAGGUUGGGUAACACUAACUGGAGGACCGAACCGACUAAUGUUGAAAAAUUAGCGGAUGACCUGUGGCUGGGGGUGAAAGGCCAAUCAAACCGGGAGAUAGCUGGUUCUCCCCGAAAGCUAUUUAGGUAGCGCCUCGUGAAUUCAUCUCCGGGGGUAGAGCACUGUUUCGGCUAGGGGGCCAUCCCGGCUUACCAACCCGAUGCAAACUGCGAAUACCGGAGAAUGUUAUCACGGGAGACACACGGCGGGUGCUAACGUCCGUCGUGAAGAGGGAAACAACCCAGACCGCCAGCUAAGGUCCCAAAGUCAUGGUUAAGUGGGAAACGAUGUGGGAAGGCCCAGACAGCCAGGAUGUUGGCUUAGAAGCAGCCAUCAUUUAAAGAAAGCGUAAUAGCUCACUGGUCGAGUCGGCCUGCGCGGAAGAUGUAACGGGGCUAAACCAUGCACCGAAGCUGCGGCAGCGAACGUAUCACUUAAAGCGAUUCAGCGGGUUACGAUUGACGGAGCGAAGCGACGU